GCGACUCCCAACCCGUGAGAACCUUACCGCAUCCUUUCUGAGAGAGAGCGCCCGUUGCCUCCUGCCGGGCGGCGUGCCCUCCUCCCCCCCCUCUGCGGGGGGGCGGACGGGCGCCCGCCCGCCGGGGGCGCGGCGCGGCCGCUCCCUCUCGCCGCGAACCUUCUUUGCAGUAUAUUUGUAUCGUCUGAGCAAACCACAGAAUCGUUAAAACUUUCAACAACGGAUCUCUUGGUUCUGGCAUCGAUGAAGAACGCAGCGAACUGCGAUAAGUAAUGCGAAUUGCAGAAUUCAGCGAGCCAUCGAAUCUUUGAACGCACAUUGCGCCCGCCAGCAUUCUGGCGGGCAUGCCUGUCCGAGCGUCAUUUCCUCCCUCACGCAGCGCGCCUGCGUGGUGUUGGGGCGUUCUGCGGUCAGGCCUGCGCCCAGCGCAGGCCGCCGCAGCCCCCGAAAGCCAGUGGCGGGCCGGCAGCGGGCUCCGAGCGCAGUAAGCAUCACGCCCUCGCUCUGGACGCCCCCGCCUGCGCCCUGCCCCCUAGACCGGCAGACGCGAGUCUGCCACCUUCUCAAGGUUGACCUCGGAUCAGGUAGGACUACCCGCUGAACUUAA
This 607-nucleotide ribosomal RNA is filed under the name Leptographium qinlingense (nom. inval.). RNAcentral's name for it is "eukaryotic LSU rRNA". The stretch from base 209 to 362 matches the Rfam family "5.8S ribosomal RNA". Lineage: Eukaryota; Fungi; Ascomycota; Sordariomycetes; Ophiostomatales; Ophiostomataceae. The record is from RNAcentral.